This 253-nucleotide ribosomal RNA is filed under the name uncultured bacterium. Its description in RNAcentral is "partial 16S ribosomal RNA". It matches the Rfam family "Bacterial small subunit ribosomal RNA", at positions 524 to 776 of the family's 1533-position model. The record is from RNAcentral.
UACGAAGGGGGCUAGCGUUGCUCGGAAUCACUGGGCGUAAAGGGUGCGUAGGCGGGUCUUUAAGUCAGGGGUGAAAUCCUGGAGCUCAACUCCAGAACUGCCUUUGAUACUGAGGAUCUUGAGUUCGGGAGAGGUGAGUGGAACUGCGAGUGUAGAGGUGAAAUUCGUAGAUAUUCGCAAGAACACCAGUGGCGAAGGCGGCUCACUGGCCCGGAACUGACGCUGAGACGCGAAAGCGUGGGGAGCAAACAGG